RNAcentral lists this ribosomal RNA (99 nucleotides) under Priestia aryabhattai. RNAcentral also lists the same sequence under 1 other name. The record is from RNAcentral. Lineage: Bacteria; Bacillati; Bacillota; Bacilli; Caryophanales; Bacillaceae.
AGAGGUCACACCCGUUCCCAUGCCGAACACGGAAGUUAAGCUCUCUAGCGCCGAUGGUAGUUGGGACUUUGUCCCUGUGAGAGUAGGACGUUGCCAGGC